Molecule: ribosomal RNA, 380 nt
Filed under: uncultured eukaryote
Lineage: Eukaryota
Description: partial 18S ribosomal RNA
Rfam family: Eukaryotic small subunit ribosomal RNA
Source: RNAcentral
CAAUAGCGUAUAUUAAAGUUGUUGCGGUUAAAAAGCUCGUAGUUGGAUUUCUGCUGAGAACGACCGGUCCGCCCAUUGGGUGUGUAUCUGGCUCUUUCUUGGCAUCUUCUUGGUGAACGUUACUGCACUUGACUGUGUGGAGCGCUACCCAGGACUUUUACUUUGAGGAAAUUAGAGUGUUUCAAGCAGGCAUACGCCUUGAAUACGUUAGCAUGGAAUAAUAAGAUAGGACCUCGGUUCUAUUUUGUUGGUUUCUAGAGCUGAGGUAAUGAUUAAUAGGGAUAGUUGGGGGCAUUCGUAUUUAACUGACAGAGGUGAAAUUCUUGGAUUUGUUAAAGACGGACUACUGCGAAAGCAUUUGCCAAGGAUGUUUUCAUUGA